GGGGAAUCUUGCGCAAUGGGCGAAAGCCUGACGCAGCAACGCCGCGUGCGGGAUGACGGCCUUCGUGGUUGUAAACCGCUUUCAGCAGGGACGAAAAUGACGGUACCUGCAGAAGAAGCCCCGGCUAACUACGUGCCAGCAGCCGCGGUAAUACGUAGGGGGCAAGCGUUGUCCGGAUUCAUUGGGCGUAAAGAGCUCGUAGGCGGUUCAGUAAGUUGGGUGUGAAAGCUCCGGGCUCAACCCGGAGAGGCCACCCAAUACUGCUGUGACUAGAGUCCAGUAGAGGAGCGUGGAAUUCCUGGUGUAGCGGUGAAAUGCGCAGAUAUCAGGAGGAACACCAUUAGCGAAGGCGGCGCUCUGGGCUGGAACUGACGCUGAGGAGCGAAAGCGUGGGUAGCAAAC
RNAcentral lists this ribosomal RNA (402 nucleotides) under uncultured bacterium. RNAcentral's name for it is "bacterial SSU rRNA". It matches the Rfam family "Bacterial small subunit ribosomal RNA", at positions 356 to 773 of the family's 1533-position model. The record is from RNAcentral.